RNAcentral lists this ribosomal RNA (121 nucleotides) under uncultured Clostridium sp. RNAcentral describes it as "partial 16S ribosomal RNA". It matches the Rfam family "Bacterial small subunit ribosomal RNA", at positions 335 to 455 of the family's 1533-position model. The record is from RNAcentral. Lineage: Bacteria; Bacillati; Bacillota; Clostridia; Eubacteriales; Clostridiaceae.
ACUUCUACGGGAGGCAGCAGUGGGGAAUAUUGCACAAUGGGGGAAACCCUGAUGCAGCAACGCCGCGUGAGUGAUGACGGCCUUCGGGUUGUAAAGCUCUGUCUUCAGGGACGAUAAUGAC